AUAACGGUCCUAAGGUAGCGAAAUUCCUUGUCGGGUAAGUUCCGACCUGCACGAAAGGCGCAACGACUUGGGCGCUGUCUCGACCAUGGACCCGGUGAAAUUGCACUGGUCGUGAAGAUGCGACUUACCCGCGGAAGGACGGAAAGACCCCGUGAACCUUCACUGCAGCUUGGCAUUGGCCGCUGGUCCCGCGUGUAGAGGAUAGGCAGGAGGCACAGAUCCGGAGGCGCCAGCCCCCGGGGAGCCGCCCUUGGAAUACUGCCCUCGCGCGACCGGCGUCCUAACCCGAGGCCGUCAACCGGCUCGGGGACCGUGCCAGGCGGGCAGUUUGACUGGGGCGGUCGCCUCCUAAAGGGUAACGGAGGCGCGCGAAGGUCCGCUCGGGACGGUCGGCAACCGUCCUUUUGAAUGCAAGAGUACAAGCGGGCUUGACUGCGAGGCCCACAAGCCGAGCAGGUGCGAAAGCAGGCUCUAGUGAUCCGGCGGCCCCGAGUGGGUGGGCCGUCGCUCAACGGAUAAAAGGUACUCCGGGGAUAACAGGCUGAUCUUGCCCAAGAGUCCACAUCGACGGCAAGGUUUGGCACCUCGAUGUCGGCUCAUCGCAUCCUGGGGCUGGAGCAGGUCCCAAGGGUACGGCUGUUCGCCGUUUAAAGCGGUACGCGAGCUGGGUUCAGAACGUCGUGAGACAGUUCGGUCCCUAUCCUCCGUGGGCGCAGGAGAAUCGAUGGAGGCUGCCCCCAGUACGAGAGGACCGGGGUGGACGCACCUCCGGUGAACCGGUUGUCGACCAACGGCACGGCCGGGUAGCCGCGUGCGGCGCGGAUAACCGCUGAAGGCAUCUAAGCGGGAAGCCGUUCCAGGGAUUAGUUCUCCUUCCGGUAAGGGCCCAGGUAGACUACCUGGUCGAUAGACGGCAGGUGCAAGGGCGGCGACGUCCUCAGCCGAGCCGCACUAAUCGCCCGAGCUCUUCCGGAA
RNAcentral lists this ribosomal RNA (975 nucleotides) under human gut metagenome. RNAcentral describes it as "bacterial LSU rRNA". It matches the Rfam family "Bacterial large subunit ribosomal RNA", at positions 1942 to 2925 of the family's 2925-position model. The record is from RNAcentral.